UGAAUUUCUGCAUUUGUUGAUAAGAUUUUGUGUAUAUUGCUGUGUUAUUUGGAGUCAUUGAUAGAUUUUUAGAUUUUUUUUUUCUUUCUUUCAUGUAUUAGUAAAAUUCUUGACAUUUGAGCUGUCACAAUUGGAUGCAUAUGCAUAUACAGGGACACACCUUUAAUCUUGGCGAUUUUCUAUCCAUGGUUGUUUAGUCAGCUGAAGCUUUGUGUGCAUUGUGUUAGUGGGUUUUAUUUAAGGCCAGAUUUGCUUGACUUGUGCUGGAAUUCACUAGGAUAGAGGAAUUUGUGUUGAGUUAAUGGUGAACUUCUUGUAGCUAAUGCUUACUGGCUUGUGGGUUUUUUUUUUUACGUUUUCAGAAAUAACAGGAGUACAGUAUUCAUUACUAUCUCACUAGAUGCUGUAGCAAUUAUGCUGAUGUAAUUGGGAAAUAUGCCAUGUAUUAAGCUCUCGUUAUGGAGAGUCUGCUGUGGAAGAUUUUCUUUCCCCUUUGAUGGAUGACCUUCCAUAUGUAUUUUUCUGUUUAUUAUUUUUUAUGAGAAGAAAAGUAUAAAUAAUGGUAAAUAGUGGUUUUCAUGAAAAUAGCUUAGUUUUCCCUUGUAGUCAUUAGUGAAAAUUGUGGGAAUUGAUGGUGUUGCUAGUGGUUGGUGACAGCCAAGGUUGACAUACAGUGUUUGGUAAACUAACGGAAACGUGUUUAUGCGAUUUCCUUAUAAGUUUUUUCUUUUCAUUAAGUUUGUCAAAGUUCAGAAAGUGGCUUCAUCUUCCAUUUGUCCAUUAAAACAAAUGGGGUAAGAAAAGAAAAUAAACUUAGGUAGGUAGAGAUUGUUCCUUUCUAGUCCCUGAUAAUUAUCAUCUUCCUUAACUUUUUUUAAACAAAAUUUCCAGCUUAAAGAUGUUAAUUGUUCUUGAGUGUUUUCUUCUUGAGAAAUGUGUAUUAUGUUCUUGAGCUAAACUCAUGAUUGGAAUUUGGAAGACUGUACAAUGGCCAAACCAUCUUGUAUACUGCAAAAAUGUUGAAUGUCUUUUACAAAUUAUUGGGUCUUAAGUUUAGUUAUGUGGCAGGUGUUGUAUCAAGAAAGAAAUUAUUUUUCAUUUGGUAUAUUUGGUAGUUCUCAGCCCUUUAAAUUGGUAUCAGGAUUCUCGAUCUGUUGUGGCUAUUGCUGGCCUUGCUGUUGCAGUAGUAUUUACCUGGAAGCUAUUGAGGUUACCUGGUGGACCUCAUCAAAGGCGAAAAAAACGGCAACCUCCUACAACUAGUAGUUCUCUUGUCAGUACUCAAUCAAAUUCAGCAUUGAUACCAUCUGGAGUUUGUUCAUCUUCAGAGGAUUUGAGGGCACAAAAUGUUGUUGAUGAAUUCUUUCAACCAGUAAAUCCAACUUUGGGGCAUAUAGUUAGGCAGAAAUUAAGCGAAGGAAGAAAGGUCACUUGCCGUUUGCUUGGAGUAAUCCUCAAGGAAAGUACUCCAGAGGAGCUACAGAAACAAGCUACUGUGAGGUCCUCUGUGCUGGAAGUGCUGUUGGAGAUAACAAAAUUUUGUGAUCUUUAUCUCAUGGAAAGAGUUCUCGAUGAUGAGAGUGAACAAAAGGCUCUUGCAGCUUUGGAGAAUGCAGGGGUUUUCACAUCUGGUGGUUUAGUGAAAGACAAGGUUCUAUUUUGUAGUACCGAAAAUGGACGAUCAUCUUUUGUCCGGCAACUAGAGCCAGAUUGGCAUAUUGACACUAAUCCUGAAAUUGUUUCUCAGUUGGCUGUAAAUCUCCAAUGCUAGCCAUUUUUUCUUAUAAAUGUUCUGAAUAGAUGUUCAUCGAUCACUUACUGUAGUCUGUGUACUUACUGCACCACCUGCCACUUGAGUUACCAUUUUUCGUUUGUUACAGAGGUUUAUCAAAUAUCAACUUCGCAUUUCUCCCAUUAGACCCGAACGGACUGCGGCAAACGUGUUCAGCUCUCCAUCCUUGGAACAUUUCUUUGGACGUGAUUGAUGCUUCAACAGUAAAGCGUCUAAUUAUGAACCUAAAAAUAGAUUGUUCUUUUACAGCUCAAUGUUCUCUAGGAACUCUUCUACCGUUGUUGAUUUUCCAGACCACAAAUUCCUUUACUUUGUUUGAAAUUUGUGCAUCGGUUUUGGUCACAUCUGAACUUUUGGACUUGAAAUUUCACUAGAUGGAUUGAUUGAAUGUUAUUUGUAUCAGUUACAGGAAAUGUAAUCAUUGACAAUAAUUUUGGUGUUCCCAUUGGCAAGUAAAAAUAGUGUCGUCUCAUAACCUAUGGGAUUUU
Molecule: unclassified non-coding RNA, 2280 nt
Filed under: Hevea brasiliensis (rubber tree)
Lineage: Eukaryota; Viridiplantae; Streptophyta; Magnoliopsida; Malpighiales; Euphorbiaceae
Source: RNAcentral